UACGUAGGUGGCGAGCGUUGUCCGGAUUUACUGGGCGUAAAGAGCGCGCAGGCGGUCGUACAAGUCGCGUGUGAAAGCCCCCGGCUCAACUGGGGAGGGUCACGCGAUACUGUUCGACUCGAAGGCAGGAGAGGGUAGUGGAAUUCCCGGUGUAGUGGUAAAAUGCGUAGAUAUCGGGAGGAACACCAGUGGCGAAGGCGACUACCUGGCCUGUUCUUGACGCUGAGGCGCGAAAGCUAGGGUAGCAAACGGG
RNAcentral lists this ribosomal RNA (253 nucleotides) under uncultured bacterium. RNAcentral's name for it is "partial 16S ribosomal RNA". It matches the Rfam family "Bacterial small subunit ribosomal RNA", at positions 524 to 776 of the family's 1533-position model. The record is from RNAcentral.